This 490-nucleotide ribosomal RNA is filed under the name uncultured bacterium. Its description in RNAcentral is "partial 16S ribosomal RNA". It matches the Rfam family "Bacterial small subunit ribosomal RNA", at positions 30 to 507 of the family's 1533-position model. The record is from RNAcentral.
AUUGAACGCUGGCGGCAGGCCUAACACAUGCAAGUCGAACGGUAACAGGAAGAAGCUUGCUUCUUUGCUGACGAGUGGCGGACGGGUGAGUAAUGUCUGGGAAACUGCCUGAUGGAGGGGGAUAACUACUGGAAACGGUAGCUAAUACCGCAUAACGUCGCAAGACCAAAGAGGGGGACCUUCGGGCCUCUUGCCAUCGGAUGUGCCCAGAUGGGAUUAGCUAGUAGGUGGGGUAACGGCUCACCUAGGCGACGAUCCCUAGCUGGUCUGAGAGGAUGACCAGCAACACUGGAACUGAGACACGGUCAAGACUCCUACGGGAGGCAGCAGUGGGGAAUAUUGGAAAAGGGGCGCAAGCCUGAUCCAGCCAGGCGGGGUGUAUGAAGAAGGCCUUCGGGUUGUAAAGCCCUUUCGGGGGGGAGGAAGAGAAAAAGGUUAAUACCUUGGCGUUUUGACGGUCCCCAAAGAAGAAGCCCCGGCUAACUCCGUG